CCUCUGUCCCCCGAAUCUUGACACGUUUCUAUUUUGGGUAAUAAUUAUUACAUUCUCUCUUCUACUUUAUCGCUUUUAUUACUCUCUCUCUCCUACUUUAUCACUCUUAUUACCUUCUAUCUCCUACUUUAUCACUUUUAUAUUUUAUUAACUACUCACUAAUCUACAACUCCUUAAUUCUCAUGCCAAAUCCAAACGUGUCAAGAUUCGUGGGACGGAGGAAGUACUAUUUUUAGAAAUCCCCCCCCCAAUACAGCAAGUUGCAACCCAGCCACCCCAAAUACCUCCAAGUCUGCAACCCUGCCGGACUUCCUCCCCUGCCGCCCCAAAUCCCCAACAACCCCGCCGGACUUCUUCUCCCCACCGCCCUAAA
RNAcentral lists this long non-coding RNA (373 nucleotides) under Salvia miltiorrhiza (redroot sage). RNAcentral's name for it is "long non-coding RNA (SMIL_LNC012636)". The record is from RNAcentral. Lineage: Eukaryota; Viridiplantae; Streptophyta; Magnoliopsida; Lamiales; Lamiaceae.